UAGCUCAGCUGGUAGAGCAGCGGACUUUUAAUCCGUUGGUCCCGCGUUCGAAUCGCGG
This 58-nucleotide transfer RNA is filed under the name Acinetobacter sp. RNAcentral describes it as "tRNA-Lys". It matches the Rfam family "tRNA", at positions 8 to 63 of the family's 71-position model. From Rfam's summary of the family: Transfer RNA (tRNA) molecules are approximately 80 nucleotides in length. Their secondary structure includes four short double-helical elements and three loops (D, anti-codon, and T loops). The record is from RNAcentral. Lineage: Bacteria; Pseudomonadati; Pseudomonadota; Gammaproteobacteria; Moraxellales; Moraxellaceae.